This is a long non-coding RNA of Eucalyptus grandis, 667 nucleotides long. RefSeq lists it as uncharacterized. The transcript is spliced from 4 exons. The record is from RefSeq and is a predicted model, not a curated record. Lineage: Eukaryota; Viridiplantae; Streptophyta; Magnoliopsida; Myrtales; Myrtaceae.
GUCUAGUCUCAACAAACGACCCCUCGAAAACGAAUUCCGCCAUUGUUUAUUUCCGUUCUCCUUCUUCUUCCUCUUCUUCCUCCACUCCCCUCUCUCUCUCUCUCUCUAGACACGAUGAUGAUGGAGGUCUCCUUCUCCCCUCAAAUCCAGCGUCGUUUUCUCCAUUAACGCCCCCCACCCUCGCGAAGGUUCCUUCUCCUCCCCGUCGCAUUCCGCUCUCUUCUCGCACUCUCUUCUGGUCGGAAAGGGCCGGAAGGAAAUCCCCCGGGGAUUUCGAGGCGAUCUCAUGAACGUUAGGCCGCGGGGCCUCUCGAUUGCUGUCGCGAUAGUCUGCAGAUAACGGAUCGCUUGGCCGAGCGCGGGCUGCUUCUUCUGCUGUCGACCUUCUGCGUCUUGAUCCGAGGGAGCGCGGAGCUGUUGGAUUCCGUGGAUCCGAGCGACGGGAUGGGUUACCUCAACUCGAUUUUGGCGUCUCCGAGCCAGAUUCACGCCGACGACGCCCCGGUCAGCGGCGGCGGGCUCAGUCAGAAUGGGAAAUUCAGCUAUGGAUAUGCAAGCUCUCCUGGGAAAAGGGCUUCGAUGGAAGAUUUCUAUGAGACAAGAAUAGAUGGUGUAGAAGGGAGAUAGUUGGUCUUUUUUGGAGUUUUUGAUGCUUGCUAAGGAGGUG